RNAcentral lists this ribosomal RNA (812 nucleotides) under Amesiella philippinensis. RNAcentral describes it as "eukaryotic LSU rRNA". The stretch from base 336 to 491 matches the Rfam family "5.8S ribosomal RNA". The record is from RNAcentral. Lineage: Eukaryota; Viridiplantae; Streptophyta; Magnoliopsida; Asparagales; Orchidaceae.
GCCGCCCGCGACACUGCGAGAAGUCCAUUGAACCUUAUCAUUUAGAGGAAGGAGAAGUCGUAACAAGGUUUCCGUAGGUGAACCUGCGGAAGGAUCAUUGUCGAGACCGGAACCAUACCGAGCGAUUCGGAGAACCCGUGAACUGAACGGCGGCGGCGGCCGCCACGAAACGGCCGUCCCCGCCGUCGCCCCCUCUUACCGGGGGGCCGCGGCGGAGGGCGGCCGAAACCCCAAACCGGCGCAGAUUGGCGCCAAGGUAACUGUUGAAAAACCCGCGGGCCCGUCAUCGGGUCUUCGCGGGGUGGAGCGGUGCUGAGCGCCGCGCGUAUUGACACGACUCUCGACAAUGGAUAUCUCGGCUCUCGCAUCGAUGAAGAGCGCAGCGAAAUGCGAUACGUGGUGCGAAUUGCAGAAUCCCGCGAACCAUCGAGUCUUUGAACGCAAGUUGCGCCCGAGGCCAAUCGGUCGAGGGCACGUCCGCCUGGGCGUCAAGCGUUGCGNCCGCUCCGUGCCGAGUCCCCAUCCCGCCGCAGUGCGGGUGCCGGGGCGAGGCUCGGAUGUGCAGGGUGGCCCGUCGUGCCGGUCGGCGCGGCGGGCUGAAGAGCGGGUUGCCGUCUCAUUGGCCGCGAGCAACGAGGGGUGGAAGAAGGCUGACGCCGGCUGGUCCUGCGUUGUCUCGUGCCGGCCCGAGAGAGGACGACGGCCCUUCGUGCGAUCCCAUCCCAUGCGACGCCCCCGUGCGGCUGCUUGGAAUGCGACCCCAGGAUGGGCGAGACCACCCGCCGAGUUUAAGCAUAUCAAUAAGCGGAGGA